This 2906-nucleotide ribosomal RNA is filed under the name Enterobacter asburiae. RNAcentral describes it as "23S ribosomal RNA". It matches the Rfam family "Bacterial large subunit ribosomal RNA". The record is from RNAcentral. Lineage: Bacteria; Pseudomonadati; Pseudomonadota; Gammaproteobacteria; Enterobacterales; Enterobacteriaceae.
GGUUAAGCGACUAAGCGUACACGGUGGAUGCCCUGGCAGUCAGAGGCGAUGAAGGACGUGCUAAUCUGCGAAAAGCGCCGGCGAGGUGAUAUGAACCUUUGACCCGGCGAUGUCCGAAUGGGGAAACCCAGUGCAAUUCGUUGCACUAUCGUUAACUGAAUACAUAGGUUAACGAGGCGAACCGGGGGAACUGAAACAUCUAAGUACCCCGAGGAAAAGAAAUCAACCGAGAUUCCCCCAGUAGCGGCGAGCGAACGGGGAGCAGCCCAGAGUCUGAAUCAGCUUGUGUGUUAGUGGAACGGUCUGGAAAGUCCGGCGAUACAGGGUGACAGCCCCGUACACGAAAGCACACAGGCUGUGAACUCGAAGAGUAGGGCGGGACACGUGGUAUCCUGUCUGAAUAUGGGGGGACCAUCCUCCAAGGCUAAAUACUCCUGACUGACCGAUAGUGAACCAGUACCGUGAGGGAAAGGCGAAAAGAACCCCGGCGAGGGGAGUGAAAAAGAACCUGAAACCGUGUACGUACAAGCAGUGGGAGCACCUUCGUGGUGUGACUGCGUACCUUUUGUAUAAUGGGUCAGCGACUUAUAUUCUGUAGCAAGGUUAACCGUAUAGGGGAGCCGAAGGGAAACCGAGUCUUAACUGGGCGUUAAGUUGCAGGGUAUAGACCCGAAACCCGGUGAUCUAGCCAUGGGCAGGUUGAAGGUUGGGUAACACUAACUGGAGGACCGAACCGACUAAUGUUGAAAAAUUAGCGGAUGACUUGUGGCUGGGGGUGAAAGGCCAAUCAAACCGGGAGAUAGCUGGUUCUCCCCGAAAGCUAUUUAGGUAGCGCCUCGUGAACUCAUCUUCGGGGGUAGAGCACUGUUUCGGCUAGGGGGCCAUCCCGGCUUACCAACCCGAUGCAAACUACGAAUACCGAAGAAUGUUAUCACGGGAGACACACGGCGGGUGCUAACGUCCGUCGUGAAGAGGGAAACAACCCAGACCGCCAGCUAAGGUCCCAAAGUCAUGGUUAAGUGGGAAACGAUGUGGGAAGGCACAGACAGCCAGGAUGUUGGCUUAGAAGCAGCCAUCAUUUAAAGAAAGCGUAAUAGCUCACUGGUCGAGUCGGCCUGCGCGGAAGAUGUAACGGGGCUAAACCAUGCACCGAAGCUGCGGCAGCGACGCUUAUGCGUUGUUGGGUAGGGGAGCGUUCUGUAAGCCGUUGAAGGUGUGCUGUGAGGCAUGCUGGAGGUAUCAGAAGUGCGAAUGCUGACAUAAGUAACGAUAAAGCGGGUGAAAAGCCCGCUCGCCGGAAGACCAAGGGUUCCUGUCCAACGUUAAUCGGGGCAGGGUGAGUCGACCCCUAAGGCGAGGCCGAAAGGCGUAGUCGAUGGGAAACAGGUUAAUAUUCCUGUACUUGGUGUUACUGCGAAGGGGGGACGGAGAAGGCUAUGUUAGCCGGGCGACGGUUGUCCCGGUUUAAGCAUGUAGGCGGAGGUUCCAGGUAAAUCCGGUACCUUAUUAACGCUGAGGUGUGAUGACGAGGCACUACGGUGCUGAAGUAACAAAUGCCCUGCUUCCAGGAAAAGCCUCUAAGCAUCAGGUAACACGAAAUCGUACCCCAAACCGACACAGGUGGUCAGGUAGAGAAUACCAAGGCGCUUGAGAGAACUCGGGUGAAGGAACUAGGCAAAAUGGUGCCGUAACUUCGGGAGAAGGCACGCUGAUAUGUAGGUGAAGCCCCUGCGGGUGGAGCUGAAAUCAGUCGAAGAUACCAGCUGGCUGCAACUGUUUAUUAAAAACACAGCACUGUGCAAACACGAAAGUGGACGUAUACGGUGUGACGCCUGCCCGGUGCCGGAAGGUUAAUUGAUGGGGUUAGCGGCAACGCGAAGCUCUUGAUCGAAGCCCCGGUAAACGGCGGCCGUAACUAUAACGGUCCUAAGGUAGCGAAAUUCCUUGUCGGGUAAGUUCCGACCUGCACGAAUGGCGUAAUGAUGGCCAGGCUGUCUCCACCCGAGACUCAGUGAAAUUGAACUCGCUGUGAAGAUGCAGUGUACCCGCGGCAAGACGGAAAGACCCCGUGAACCUUUACUAUAGCUUGACACUGAACACUGGUCCUUGAUGUGUAGGAUAGGUGGGAGGCUUUGAAGCGUGGACGCCAGUCUGCGUGGAGCCAACCUUGAAAUACCACCCUUUAAUGGCUGGUGUUCUAACGUAGACCCGUGAUCCGGGUUGCGGACAGUGUCUGGUGGGUAGUUUGACUGGGGCGGUCUCCUCCCAAAGAGUAACGGAGGAGCACGAAGGUUAGCUAAUCCUGGUCGGACAUCAGGAGGUUAGUGCAAUGGCAUAAGCUAGCUUGACUGCGAGAGUGACGGCUCGAGCAGGUGCGAAAGCAGGUCAUAGUGAUCCGGUGGUUCUGAAUGGAAGGGCCAUCGCUCAACGGAUAAAAGGUACUCCGGGGAUAACAGGCUGAUACCGCCCAAGAGUUCAUAUCGACGGCGGUGUUUGGCACCUCGAUGUCGGCUCAUCACAUCCUGGGGCUGAAGUAGGUCCCAAGGGUAUGGCUGUUCGCCAUUUAAAGUGGUACGCGAGCUGGGUUUAGAACGUCGUGAGACAGUUCGGUCCCUAUCUGCCGUGGGCGCUGGAGAAUUGAGGGGGGCUGCUCCUAGUACGAGAGGACCGGAGUGGACGCAUCACUGGUGUUCGGGUUGUCAUGCCAAUGGCACUGCCCGGUAGCUAAAUGCGGAAAAGAUAAGUGCUGAAAGCAUCUAAGCACGAAACUUGCCCCGAGAUGAGUUCUCCCUGACCCUUUAAGGGUCCUGAAGGAACGUUGAAGACUACGACGUUGAUAGGUCGGGUGUGUAAGCGCAGCGAUGCGUUGAGCUAACCGAUACUAAUGAACCGUGAGGCUUAACCUU